RNAcentral lists this long non-coding RNA (239 nucleotides) under Lathyrus oleraceus (garden pea). Its description in RNAcentral is "Pisum sativum (pea) long non-coding RNA (PSAT_LNC016050)". The record is from RNAcentral. Lineage: Eukaryota; Viridiplantae; Streptophyta; Magnoliopsida; Fabales; Fabaceae.
GUCAGCUCCGGCCUACGCAUCCUCUACGUAGGGGACCGAUGAACAUAAGUGAAUAAUCCAGUGAAAUAAAAUAAAAGAAAGCAAAAAGGCAACUCCGGUAUAGGUGACCCUCACAAAGUCAUUUAAACCAAAAAGUUUGUAAAAAUUCGUUGCAAAAAGAAAAAAAAAGAAAAAGAAAAACUCACACGCUGUCAGUUGGUUCAGAGGUAUCUGGCACUGAACUCGGUAGGGCGGAUUAU